Molecule: non-coding RNA, 55 nt
Organism: Salmo salar (Atlantic salmon)
Lineage: Eukaryota; Metazoa; Chordata; Actinopteri; Salmoniformes; Salmonidae
Source: Rfam
UGAAUGCAGUUACUGUAAAUCGCUCUGGAUAAGAGCAUCUGCUAAAUGACUAAAA